UAGUAAUUCCAGUUUAUCCUGCUGGCGGCUGCGGCUAUCUGGCUUGUACUAAGACAUGCAAGUCAUUCGCAAGAAGGCGAACUGCUCAGUAACACGUAGCUAACCUAACUUAUAGUCAAGAAUACCCUCGGGAAACUGAGAAUAAGACUUGAUAAGAGAUUAUUUCUGGAAUGAGUUUUCUCUGAAAGGCAACGCUGUAAGAUGGGGCUGCGGCUGAUUAGGUUGUUGGCGGGGCAAUGGCCCACCAAGCCCAUGAUCAGUAAGGGCUCUUAGCGGAGGAGCCCUGAGAGGGAAUCUGAGACACUAUUCCCAGCCUUACGGGGUGCAGCAGUUAAGAAUUUUCUGCAAUGCGCGCAAGCGUGACAGAGCGAGCCAGAGUGUUUCUCUAUUUAGAGAAACUUUUGCCAAAUGUAAAUAGUUUGGAGAAUAAGGACUGGGCAAGACCGGUGCCAGCCGCCGCGGUAAUCCCGGCAGUCCAAGUCGCAGCCACAAUUAUUGGGUCUAAAACAUCCGUAGCUUGCUUUGUAAGUCUUUUGUGAAAUUUCUUAUCUUAAAUAAGGAGCGGGCAGAAGAUACUGCGAAGCUAGAGACUGGGAGACGUAAGGAGUACAGAAGGUGUACCGGUAAAAUGGGUUGAUCCUUUCUGGACUAACGAUAGCGAAGGCACCUUACGAGAACAGAUCUGACAGUAAGGGAUGAAGGCUAAGGUCGCGAAAGGGAUUAGAUACCCCUGUAGUCUUAGCAGUAAACACUGCACACUAAACAUCGGUACCUCCUCGAGAGGCAUCGGUGCUGUAGGGAAGCCGUAGAGUGUGCUACCUGGGAAGUAUAGUCGCAAGGCCGAAACUUAAAGGAAUUGGCGGGGGGGCACUACAACGGGUGACGCGUGCGGUUCAAUUAGAUUAUACACCGUGAACCUCACCAGGAGCGACAGCAGAAUGAAGGUCAGUCUGAAGGGCUUACCUGACACGCUGAGAGGAGUUGCAUGGCCGACGUCAGCCUGUGUCGUGAGAUGACUUGUUAAAUCAAGUAACAGGCGAGACCCACGUGUAUACUUACUUCUUUGAAGAACAGUAUAUAGACUGCCGUGGUAACACGGAGGAGGGCGUGGGCUACGUUAGGUGAGUACGGCCCGAAUCCCCUGGGCGACACGCGCGCGGCAAUGCUGCAUUCAAUGGGAUGCGACUCCGAAAGGAGAAGCCAAUCCUAAAUAUUCAGCUUAGUUCAGAUUGAGGCUUGAAACCCAGCCUCAUGACGCCGGAAUCCGUAGUAAUCGUUCUUUAGCAGAGAACGGUGAAUAUGUCCCUGCCCCUUGCACACACUGCCCGUCAAACCAACCGAGUUUUGCAUUGUUGAAGCUUUUUUAGGAUGAAACUUUGUAAGACAAGGUAGGUUAAGUCGUCACAAGGUAACUGUAGGGGAACCUGCAGUUGGAUCACCUCCUA
This 1445-nucleotide ribosomal RNA is filed under the name Candidatus Pacearchaeota archaeon CG1_02_32_21. RNAcentral describes it as "bacterial SSU rRNA". It matches the Rfam family "Archaeal small subunit ribosomal RNA". Lineage: Archaea; Nanobdellati. The record is from RNAcentral.